ACACGUAGGGGCCUGACGUUGUUCGGAAUCAUUGGGCGUAAAGGGCGCGCAGGCGGCCGUCCAAGUCCGGUGUUAAAUGGUCGGGCUCAACCCGAUCAUGCGCUGGAAACUGGGCGGCUGGAGUCCCGGAGGGGAUGCCGGAAUUCCAGGUGUAGGGGUGAAAUCUGUAGAUAUCUGGAAGAACACCGAUGGCGAAGGCAGGCAUCUGGCCGGAGACUGACGCUGAGGCGCGAAAGUGUGGGGAGCAAACAGGAUUAGAUACCCUGGUAGUCCACACUGUAAACGAUGAAUGCUAGGUGUAGGGGGUAUCGACCCCUUCUGUGCCGCAGUUAACACAAUAAGCAUUCCGCCUGGGGAGUACGGCCGCAAGGUUGAAACUUAAAGGAAUUGACGGGG
This 396-nucleotide ribosomal RNA is filed under the name uncultured bacterium. Its description in RNAcentral is "partial 16S ribosomal RNA". It matches the Rfam family "Bacterial small subunit ribosomal RNA", at positions 523 to 918 of the family's 1533-position model. The record is from RNAcentral.